UACGUAGGUGGCGAGCGUUGUCCGGAUUUACUGGGCGUAAAGGGAGCGUAGGCGGACUUUUAAGUGAGAUGUGAAAUACCCGGGCUCAACUUGGGUGCUGCAUUUCAAACUGGAAGUCUAGAGUGCAGGAGAGGAGAAUGGAAUUCCUAGUGUAGCGGUGAAAUGCGUAGAGAUUAGGAAGAACACCAGUGGCGAAGGCGAUUCUCUGGACUGUAACUGACGCUGAGGCUCGAAAGCGUGAAAAACAACAGGAUUAGAUACCCUGGUA
Molecule: ribosomal RNA, 268 nt
Filed under: uncultured prokaryote
Description: partial 16S ribosomal RNA
Rfam family: Bacterial small subunit ribosomal RNA
Source: RNAcentral